Molecule: ribosomal RNA, 460 nt
Filed under: uncultured bacterium
Lineage: Bacteria
Description: partial 16S ribosomal RNA
Rfam family: Bacterial small subunit ribosomal RNA
Source: RNAcentral
CCUACGGGAGGCAGCAGUGAGGAAUAUUGGUCAAUGGACGCUAGCCUGAACCAGCCAAGUAGCGUGAAGGAUGACUGCCCUAUGGGUUGUAAACUUCUUUUAUAUGGGAAUAAAGUGCAGUAUGUAUACUGCUUUGCAUGUACCUUAUGAAUAAGGAUCGGCUAACUCCGUGCCAGCAGCCGCGGUAAUACGGAGGAUCCGAGCGUUAUCCGGAUUUAUUGGGUUUAAAGGGAGCGUAGGUGGGUUGUUAAGUCAGUUGUGAAAGUUUGCGGCUCAACCGUAAAAUUGCAGUUGAUACUGGCAGCCUUGAGUACAGUAGAGGUAGGCGGAAUUCGUGGUGUAGCGGUGAAAUGCUUAGAUAUCACGAAGAACUCCGAUUGCGAAGGCAGCCUGCUGGACUGUAACUGACGCUGAUGCUCGAAAGUGUGGGUAUCAAACAGGAUUAGAUACCCCAGUAGUC